Molecule: ribosomal RNA, 659 nt
Filed under: uncultured bacterium
Lineage: Bacteria
Description: bacterial SSU rRNA
Rfam family: Bacterial small subunit ribosomal RNA
Source: RNAcentral
CAGCGGCGAACGGGUGAGUAACACGUGGAUAACCUGCCCUCGGCACCGGGAUAGCCCGGGGAAACCCGGAUUAAUACCGGAUGGCCCUUCCGGCUUUCGAGCCGGUCGGAAAAGGUAGCUUCGGCCUCCGGCCGAGGAUGGGUCCGCGGCGGAUUAGCUUGUUGGUGGGGUAACGGCCUACCAAGGCUCCGAUCCGUAGCUGGUCUGAGAGGACGAUCAGCCACACUGGGACUGAGACACGGCCCAGACUCCUACGGGAGGCAGCAGUGGGGAAUCUUGCCCAAUGGGCGAAAGCCUGAGGCAGCGACGCCGCGUGAGGGAGGAAGGCCUUCGGGUUGUAAACCUCUUUCAGGAGGGACGAAGCUACUCGGGUUAAUAGCCCAGAGGGUGACGGUACCUCCAGAAGAAGCCCCGGCUAACUACGUGCCAGCAGCCGCGGUAAUACGUAGGGGGCAAGCGUUGUCCGGAUUUACUGGGCGUAAAGCGCGUGUAGGCGGCCACGCAGGUCCGUUGUGAAAACUAGAGGCUUAACCUCUAGACGUCGACGGAAACCGUGUGGCUAGAGUCCGGAAGAGGAGAGUGGAAUUCCUGGUGUAGCGGUGAAAUGCGCAGAUAUCAGGAAGAACACCAAUGGCGAAGGCAGCUCUCUGGGACGGUAC